UUUGGAUCGUCGAGUAGGGAGAUCGGCGAGGUGUGGGAGAUGGUGUUGGAGGAACGAGAAUUGAUCAUUCUUUUUCUAGAUAUCAUUCUAGAUAUCACGUCGAUCACUGCUAAUGAUCGCGUUUGCGAAUGCGAGAAUGUUUUUUACAUCUGAAAAAAGUUUCUACUUAUCGAAAUAUACUGUUCCUUUCCUAAGAAACAACGUGUCUGUUGUUUCUUAUUCUGUCAUGUGACUUCCAUAUAAUCAAAUAUGAGCCAGCAAUUAAACAGAAGAGAAAUGCGUUUGUUUAUCAAGAAGCGGUAUAAAAAAAGACAUCAGAUAACAAUUUUACAAACGGACAGUAACAGUUUCUAUAUAUGUAGAUACGAAUACAAGUGGGAAUGAAAAAGCUAUGACGUAAGGAAAGGAAAGACCAGAGAGAACAAAGUAGUCUUGAAUGGAUCAAUGAAGAGAAAUAUCAAAGAAAAGAGUAUUGAGUACGAUUCUGAGUGGACCGACAGAAAGUAACGACUGAGUAAAGAGUAUAAAGUUGAGUUUGGAGAAGACCAGAGAAAGAGUAUGAUAUUUAGUAGACCAGAUAUAGAACAAAGGAUUAAGUCAAAUUCAUUUUUCUAAAUUUCAGAAAUGCAUUUCAAGGUAAUUGAAGCCAAGGAAUUGGUAUUCAAAGAUACUAAUGGAGAGAGUAAUCCAUUUUGCGUUUUUAUCUCGAAUCAGCUCCUAUUAGGAAAUAUAACACAGCUGUACAAAAUCCAAGGGAAAGAAAUUUUCAAUUAUUAUAUACUACUACAUCAAGAAGUUUGAGCACAUAGCAAGUAAUACUAGACCGAAGACUAAAUCGAACGAAGAUGCUAUCAGAUAUCAAAUUAAGGUAAUUCAGUUAAUUGGAGCACAUUUACGAAGAUCUACAGAUUGUUACAAGGUGUUCAUGAAGAAGGCAAGAACGUUGUAUAUUAUAUAUGAAAAAAAGCAAAAAAUAAUUUACAUGUGCAUGUAUGCUGUGAAAGAUGUGUUUACUGAGGUUGAAACGCAUAGAAGUCGAUAAUAAUAAUGAUUCUGAGUUGACGCUUGUUCAAAUUCCAUCUCACAUUUCAACGAUAUGCUAUACUGGGCCAAAUUGUUUGUGCUGAAGGACAAUUGGAAUUUGAAAAAAUACAGAAUUAUAACGACUGGUAGUUUAAAGCUGGUGUAGCACACUUUGAAUGGAUAUAGCAGUAUACAAGGCUUUAAAGAACUUUUUCAGUUAGUAAUGUAGAAAAAAAGAUCACGUUCAUUCUACUCUAAUUUGCACCGAAGACUUCAUGCACUCAUUAAAUUAUACAAUCUUGAUACAAAUGAGACAUGGAAUAUGCAGAUUUUUUAGAAGAUUGAAUAAUAUCCAGAUACUCACUUUUCAUGUAGGUAAGCUUCAAUAAUUUAUAAGUUUGAUAAUUUUCUAAUAAUUUAGACGAUCUUUAAUGCAUACGGAAAGCAAGAAACAAAUAUGGAAGCAAUUGUAGAUUCGCUUAAACUUUUCAUAGCUCGUUAAGUGUAAUAAUAAUUUUUAUUUAAAAUACCGAUAUGUUAAAUUUUAUAUUAGAAGUCGUUGCCUUUAUUAAAUAUAAUUUUAAUUUAUAUUGUCUAUACUGAACAAUUUUAAUGUAGCAAUUGUUGGCAUAUUGUAAUGUAAACGAAAGGUUUGAAUCUGCACGAGUGAUUGGUUGUAAUUAUUUAGAAGAAGAAUAUUGAAAAGAAAAUUAAUAGAUAGAAUAUCUAGAAAUAAAUAAAAUAAAAAAUACAAAUUAUCUCUCUCUUCCUCUCUCUCUCUCUCCCUUUCGCUUUCUCUCCCCAUCUCUCACUCUGUCUCUGUCUCUCUCUUAUCUCUGUAAUUAACAUAAAUACAAAAAUCAAGAAAGAUUGAAUAUAUGAGUUACUAACACAAAGAUGUAAGAAGUGAAUGUGUGAAUUAAAAAUGUGAAGAAAUUGUAGGUGUUUCAAUAAGAUAAAGAAAUAUUGAGUGAGUAAAUGAUUUGGAGAGAUAGAAAGAUAGUGAGUGAGCGAGGUGGAAAAAUUAGGAACGUUUCAUAGAGAUGAAGAAGUAGUGAGUUAGUAUAUGAGUGAGUAGGAUAGAGAAAAAGUAGUGA
Vespa velutina is the source of this 2120-nucleotide long non-coding RNA. RefSeq lists it as uncharacterized. Lineage: Eukaryota; Metazoa; Arthropoda; Insecta; Hymenoptera; Vespidae. The transcript is spliced from 7 exons. The record is from RefSeq and is a predicted model, not a curated record.